Molecule: long non-coding RNA, 925 nt
Filed under: Androctonus crassicauda
Lineage: Eukaryota; Metazoa; Arthropoda; Arachnida; Scorpiones; Buthidae
Source: RNAcentral
UCACAAAAGUUGGUAAUAUACCAUUCCCAUAGCCUUAAUACUGACUAUAUGUCUUGCAUUUUAUAAGAAAUGUAUUUUUAAAUAUUUUAUAUUAUAGUUUUAUUUUUCCAAUAGUUAAGCGUAAAAAAUUUUAUAUAUUGUAAAAAAAAAGUUUAAUCAGAAAUAUAUAAGACGUGUUCAAAUGAAAACUGUUCGAAACGCGCCACAUGAUGAAUUGACAUUUCAGUUUUGGAACACGGAUGUUAAAUUGAAGCUAUAUGUGUUGCGCACGCGUAGUGUUCUUGAAUUCUGCACUUGGGUCAUUUUUAAACAGCAUGAUAUAACCUUGAAGAUUGCUAGGAUAAUUGAAAAUCCGUCCAAGCAGGAUGUGUAGGGUGGUGGUGUUGGUGAGUGUCCCGCAUGCUGGGUGGGCGCCGCAGGGAACAGCGGGUGGAUCUCGGCUUGCAGCAUUUGGUGCCCUGCUGCAAUGAGGGCGGCGAACAAUUCCUGUGGAGCAUAGUGAUGUUUCACCGAAUUGUUCGCCCUCAUUGCAGUAGCCGCGUCGGGUGCUGCAGGCUGGGAUCCGUUCGCUGUUCCUUGUGGUGUUCGCCCGGCAUGCGGGGCACUCAUUGGCGCCACUACCUUGCAUGUCCUGCUUGGACGGUUUUUCAAUCAUACCAACCAUUUACUUCACGCGUUUAAAAAUGACGCAAGUGCGGAGUUUGAGAGCAUUGAGCGUGCGCAACACAUACAGCUUCAUUUGAACACUCCUUAUAAAAUCUCUAUUUUUAUACUGUGAUGUCACAAUUUGUAUAGCCUACGCCCUUAUGCCAUUUAUCGUCACAAAUCUAUUAUCUUUUCCCUCCGCUAACUGUGAUAUAAUUUAUGAAUGCAUUCUAUAUUUUAAUAUGAUAAUAUGACCAAUUAAUUUUUAAUUAUAGAACUG